Molecule: unclassified non-coding RNA, 379 nt
Filed under: Hevea brasiliensis (rubber tree)
Lineage: Eukaryota; Viridiplantae; Streptophyta; Magnoliopsida; Malpighiales; Euphorbiaceae
Source: RNAcentral
UUCCGCCGAUCCCACUCCAAGAACUCAGGUGGGAUUUUGGAAUACAAAUCUGGGUGGUUUGAUGCAUUUUCAACACCUAGUAUAUUGUAUGAGACAACAACGACCCUAUCUCUAUAGGCAGAGAAAUCGCCGCCAGAGAAGACCCAUCUACGAUGACNCACUCGCCAAUACUCGAACUUCUGCUCCGGUAACGCUUAUUAUUACGCCUUCGUGAGGAUGAAGCGUGAAUUGGUCUAAACCUAUUCGAUGUUGGAAAAUUCGGAUACCAGCAAUGGGGCUUAACAGUAAGGGUUUCGGUCCUCAACACUAAUCUUUUCCUCUUUCCAUCAGUUUCGUGAUCAUGUCGCUCCAUGCCAUCGAAAUACUUGCGCUUGUUUCG